RNAcentral lists this non-coding RNA (86 nucleotides) under Methylophaga nitratireducenticrescens. RNAcentral describes it as "c-di-GMP sequence". It matches the Rfam family "c-di-GMP-I riboswitch aptamer". Rfam says of the family: GEMM was predicted in a large-scale screen for bacterial structured RNA regulatory elements. Genes associated with GEMM are involved in a diverse array of functions, including chemotaxis regulation, signal transduction, secretion and chitin. The record is from RNAcentral. Lineage: Bacteria; Pseudomonadati; Pseudomonadota; Gammaproteobacteria; Thiotrichales; Piscirickettsiaceae.
UGAUGAUGUUGCCAAACUUACUGUGAAGUAAGGUCGGAAAGCCACGGAUCUUCUGGGUUUGAUUUGAAGAUGGCCGGGUUGCAUUG